This 72-nucleotide transfer RNA is filed under the name Camelus bactrianus (Bactrian camel). It matches the Rfam family "tRNA". From Rfam's summary of the family: Transfer RNA (tRNA) molecules are approximately 80 nucleotides in length. Their secondary structure includes four short double-helical elements and three loops (D, anti-codon, and T loops). Further hydrogen bonds mediate the characteristic L-shaped molecular structure. tRNAs have two regions of fundamental functional importance: the anti-codon, which is responsible for specific mRNA codon recognition, and the 3' end, to which the tRNAs corresponding amino acid is attached (by aminoacyl-tRNA synthetases). tRNAs cope with the degeneracy of the genetic code in two manners: having more than one tRNA (with a specific anti-codon) for a particular amino acid; and 'wobble' base-pairing, i.e. permitting non-standard base-pairing at the 3rd anti-codon position. Lineage: Eukaryota; Metazoa; Chordata; Mammalia; Artiodactyla; Camelidae. The record is from Rfam by way of RNAcentral. RNAcentral also lists the same sequence under 1 other name.
AAGGGUAUAGUUCAGUGGUAGAAUACAUGCCUAGCAUGCACAAGGUCUUGGGUUCAAUCCCCAGUACCUCCA